This 227-nucleotide ribosomal RNA is filed under the name uncultured bacterium. Its description in RNAcentral is "partial 16S ribosomal RNA". It matches the Rfam family "Bacterial small subunit ribosomal RNA", at positions 129 to 354 of the family's 1533-position model. The record is from RNAcentral.
CCUUGGAGUGGGGAAUAACAGCUGGAAACAGCUGCUAAUACCGCAUGAUAUGUCUGUAUCACAUGGUACUGGACAUCAAAGAUCUAUCGCUCUGAGAUGGGCUCGCGUCUGAUUAGCUAGUUGGUGGGGCAACGGCCCACCAAGGCGACGAUCAGUAGCCGGACUGAGAGGUUGGCCGGCCACAUUGGGGACUGAGACACGGCCCAGACUCCUACGGGAGGCAGCAG